UUUUUCUCUCUCCUGGUGUGAGUCUUCUCUUUCGUGUAGCCUACAUAUUCUUAGUUUACUCCCUCACUCUGGUGAGGUCAUGAUACAACGUCUUUCUAUGUUUCCCAGGCUGGUGUCAAACUACUGGGCUCAAGUGAUCCUCUCACCUCAGCCUUCCAAAGUGCUGAAACUACAAAUGGGAGCCACCAGGCCAGGUCUUGAAUAACUUUUGUUGCUGACCUUUUGGAAAAUUGACAGACUCCACUCACACCAUCCCCAUCCAUUCUCCCACCAUCUGCCUUCCUUCCAAGCUUAAAGAGACGGAUAUCUACCUACAAGGCAAAUCCAAUCAACCAUUAUCCUCCAAUUGCCAGACCCUGCUAGUGGCACAUCCAUCAGUACAUGAACUGAAUAUGUCACAGAGUGUAUCAAAGCUAAGGUAGGUGCCUGUCCCACCAUCAGUUGAAUGAGAAGGUUUCUGAUAUCAGAAAUUGGGCUACCCUGCUUUGCCAAGACUCUCUUUUCCAAUCUCUCAAAGGCAGAUAAUAACACUAAUGGACAAUGUGGCCAUGAGCAUUAAAACAAAUCAUUAGGCUGGAGGCUUCUCAUCAGUGCUUGAGGGCAAUUUCACCACCUGGGGCUUUCCGAGAAGGCUUUUGAAGGCUCUGAAACAUGCUCAGUCUGCAGGAGUAUGCAGGCACCCACCGUGCCCCAAGAUAUGGACUGUGGAGCGUUCAUUGUCUCAACAAUUACUCACUGCAAGGAUAGGGAAAUUUGGCGACCUCAACCUGUCCAAGUCUUCAGGAUCUGCUGCUGCCACUGUUCACUGCAAUUCCUUAGGUUUAGCUUAAUUGGCGCCAUUGGGAACAUGUAGAAAUUCAUUUUAGAGAGUGCUACCUUGAUGACUUAACGGUCUUACAAUAGUAGGCAGAGACAGAAAGGGAAAAUGAACCGGUUCUCUGGAUUUAUUCUAGUCAAACACAGAGCCAGGCUGAACAGGGCUUUUGCUGCUCCAUCUUUGAGUUCCUGGGCAACUAUGUGGCUCCCUGAGCUUUUGUUAAGAAAAGCAGAAGCACCAGGGCACCCAGAUCCUGACGGCAUGUGGUAGGUGGAGAUUGCUCUCCUGCCCUGCAAGUUGGGCAAAUAGGAUGAAAAUUUCUGCACGUUUGAAGCAGAAAGAACAAAGAACAGAGACAGAUGGGGAGUGGAGCAAGAUGGUGGAAUAUGACUCUGUAGUGAUCAUCCACCCACAGAAACAUCAACUUGAGUAACUAUUCACAUGCAAAAAACCUUCACAAGAGCUAAGGAAACUAGAGGAUGCAGCACUCAAGGCACCACCUUGGGAGCAGAGAUCAGGCCCUCACCAGACACCAAACUUGUUGGUGCCUUGAUCUUUGACUUCCCAGCCUCCAGAACUGUGAAUUCCUGUAACACAAUCUUCACUUAUGUUUUUAUUAACACGUAAAACAUCUUUACCUCCACUGUCUUCUCUUCAUAAAAAGAUAAACACUACAGAUUGCUACAGAUGAAUGCUACUGACAUGCUAAAGACUAUAUGACAAUUCCUUUUAAAGUCAGACACUCAAUUGUGAAAGAUGUGUGAACAAUCCAAUGAUGGAUGUCCGUUAGUUCAGUGCUGUCAAGCUGAGUUACUACUCCACAUCUCUGAUACUGAUGCUGUUUUUGCAGUCAUGAUUGAGUCGUUGAAGAAAAAAGCACUCUACAGAGUUCUGCCCAACUGUGUCCAAACAAGCAGCAACUUGAAAUAUCAUUGGCUUACUCAGCAGCAUCAGAACCCACAAAGCAAAGAGGUUAGAUCCAUCCAAGAGACUUUUCUGCAGCAGUAAAUGGAUUUGCCCUCUUUAGAGCAGGGAGCACAGCUCCAACACAAUUAUUCUUAUUGGAACAGACUAAGGAAUUUACUUCAAAUGAGGUUGUUGGUUGUCCUGUGAAAGCUGUGUCAGAAUAAAUAUUCAACUGCUCUUUGGAGGCAUAAUUUGUUAGCCCGUGAAUCAUUUGUGACC
Molecule: long non-coding RNA, 2002 nt
Filed under: Homo sapiens (human)
Lineage: Eukaryota; Metazoa; Chordata; Mammalia; Primates; Hominidae
Description: HSALNT0356866
Source: RNAcentral